Molecule: transfer RNA, 71 nt
Filed under: Hydrolycus scomberoides (payara)
Lineage: Eukaryota; Metazoa; Chordata; Actinopteri; Characiformes; Characidae
Description: tRNA-Tyr
Rfam family: tRNA
About the family: Transfer RNA (tRNA) molecules are approximately 80 nucleotides in length. Their secondary structure includes four short double-helical elements and three loops (D, anti-codon, and T loops).
Source: RNAcentral
GGUAGGAUGGCUGAGUGUCCAAGCGGCGGAUUGUAGCUCCGUGUACAGAGGUUCAAGCCCUCUUUCUAUCA